This 868-nucleotide ribosomal RNA is filed under the name uncultured archaeon. Its description in RNAcentral is "bacterial SSU rRNA". It matches the Rfam family "Archaeal small subunit ribosomal RNA", at positions 1 to 879 of the family's 1478-position model. The record is from RNAcentral.
CUCGGUUGAUCCUGCCGGACCCGACUGCUAUCAGAGUGGGACUAAGCCAUGCGAGUCAACGUAGCAAUACGUGGCAUACGGCUCAGUAACACGUAGUCAACAUGCCCAGGGGACGAGGAUAACCUCGGGAAACUGAGGAUAAACCUCGAUAGGCCAUGAUUUCUGGAAUGAUUCUUGGCUCAAACCUAUAUGGCCCCUGGAUUGGACUGCGGCCGAUCAGGCUGUUGGUGAGGUAAUGGCCCACCAAACCUAUUACCGGUACGGGCUCUGAGAGGAGGAGCCCGGAGAUGGGCACUGAGACAAGGGCCCAGGCCCUAUGGGGCGCAGCAGGCGCGAAACCUCUGCAAUAGGCGAAAGCUUGACAGGGUUACUCUGAGUGAUUUCCGCUAAGGGAAUCUUUUGACACCUCUAAAAAUGGUGCAGAAUAAGGGGUGGGCAAGUCUGGUGUCAGCCGCCGCGGUAAUACCAGCACCCCGAGUGGUCGGGACGAUUAUUGGGCCUAAAGCAUCCGUAGCCGGUCCUGCAAGUCUUCCGUUAAAUCCAGCUGCUCAACAGAUGGGCUGCGGGAGAUACUACAGGGCUAGGAGGCGGGAGAGGCAAGCGGUACUUUAUGGGUAGGGGUAAAAUCCGCUGAUCCAUAGAAGACCACCAGUGGCGAAGGCGGCUUGCCAGAACGCGCUCGACGGUGAGGGAUGAAAGCUGGGGGAGCAAACCGGAUUAGAUACCCGGGUAGUCCCAGCUGUAAACGAUGCAGACUCGGUGAUGGGUUGGCCUCGCGCCUGCCCAGUGCCGCAGGGAAGCCGUUAAGUCUGCCGCCUGGGGAGUACGGUCGCAAGACUGAAACUUAAAGGAAUUGGCGGGGGAGCCA